Molecule: ribosomal RNA, 505 nt
Filed under: uncultured bacterium
Lineage: Bacteria
Description: partial 16S ribosomal RNA
Rfam family: Bacterial small subunit ribosomal RNA
Source: RNAcentral
GACGAACGCUGGCGGCGUGCCUAAUACAUGCAAGUAGAACGCACAGUUUAUGCCGUAGCUUGCUACACCAUAGACUGUGAGUUGCGAACGGGUGAGUAACGCGUAGGUAACCUGCCUGGUAGCGGGGGAUAACUAUUGGAAACGAUAGCUAAUACCGCAUAAUAUUGAUUAUUGCAUGAUAAUUGAUUGAAAGAUGCUAUUGCAUCACUACCAGAUGGACCUGCGUUGUAUUAGCUAGUAGGUGAGGUAACGGCUCACCUAGGCGACGAUACAUAGCCGACCUGAGAGGGUGAUCGGCCACACUGGGACUGAGUCACGGCCCAGACUCCUACGGGAGGCAGCAGUAGGGAAUCUUCGGCAAUGGACGAAAGUCUGACCGAGCAACGCCGCGUGAGUGAAGAAGGUUUUCGGAUCGUAAAGCUCUGUUGUAAGAGAAGAACGGGUGUGAGAGUGGAAAGUUCACACUGUGACGGUAUCUUACCAGAAAGGGACGGCUAACUACGUG